RNAcentral lists this ribosomal RNA (420 nucleotides) under uncultured bacterium. RNAcentral describes it as "partial 16S ribosomal RNA". It matches the Rfam family "Bacterial small subunit ribosomal RNA", at positions 360 to 772 of the family's 1533-position model. The record is from RNAcentral.
AAUAUUGGACAAUGGGGGCAACCCUGAUCCAGCCAUGCCGCGGGUGUGAAGAAGGUCUUCGGAUUGUAAAGCACUUUAAGUUGGGAGGAAGGGCUUUAGGUUAAUACCCUGAAGUUGUGACGUUAACAAAAGAAUAAGCAGCGGCUAACUCUGUCGCAGCAGCUGUGGUUACACAGAGAGUGUAAGCGGUAAUCGGAAUUACUGGGCGUAAAGCGCGCGUAGGUGGUUCAGUAAGAUGGGUGUGAAAUCCCCGGGCUUAACCUGGGAACUGCUUUCAUAACUGCAGAGCUAGAGUACGGUAGAGGGUAGUGGAAUUUCCUGUGUAGCGGUGAAAUGCGUAGAUAUAGGAAGGAACACCAGUGGCGAAGGCGACUACCUGGACUGAUACUGACACUGAGGUGCGAAAGCGUGGGGAGCAAA